GACGAACGCUGGCGGCGUGCUUAACACAUGCAAGUCGAGCGGAAAGGCCACUUCGGUGGUACUCGAGCGGCGCACGGGUGCGUAACACGUGCGUAAUCUGCCCCUCACUUUGGGAUAGCCACCGGAAACGGUGAUUAAUACCGGAUAUGACCAUAUGUCGCAUGGCGUGUGGUGGAAAGUUUUUCGGUGAGGGAUGUGCUCGCGGCCUAUCAGCUUGAUGGUGAGGUAAUGGCUCACCAUGGCUUCGACGGGUAGCCGGCCUGAGAGGGUGACCGGUCACACUGGGACUGAGACACGGCCCAGACUCCUACGGGAGGCAGCAGUGGGGAAUAUUGGACAAUGGGCGGAAGCCUGAUCCAGCAACGCCGCGUGAGGGAUGACGGCCUUCGGGUUGUAAACCUCUUUCAGUACCGACGAAGCGCAAGUGACGGUAGGUACAGAAGAAGCACCGGCCAACUACGUG
This 463-nucleotide ribosomal RNA is filed under the name uncultured bacterium. RNAcentral's name for it is "partial 16S ribosomal RNA". It matches the Rfam family "Bacterial small subunit ribosomal RNA", at positions 28 to 507 of the family's 1533-position model. The record is from RNAcentral.